GUUCCCUGACCAACGGGCAGGGAUUAUUAACACAUUAUUAAAACUCCGUUCGGAGCACCUUAAUGAGACCUGCGCUUAUUAGCAAUGGGAGCGAAUUUCACAGGAGUGAAGUGAUCAGUUAAGCCAUGUCUAUAGUUUCCAGACUACGCAAAUGAGGCUUUUACUUAAUUGAAUUGAACUUCUCAUGGCAUUCGGAGGCUGAACUCUAUCCUCCAGCGCAAGAGUUCACAACAGCAGUAGCUGAGCUGCAGCCUGAUUUAUACUUCUGGAAUGGAGGCCGUGAGACCAUCAGGCUUUCAAUUCAAUCUAUUCCAGUUUGUAGUGAUUUCCCUAAAAGGAGCCAGUUUUUGGUAUGCAGCAGAAACCUCAGGAUCCGUCAGUACCUGGAACCAUGCUGGGUGGACCUGUGAGGGAUGCACUGCAGCAGAAGGCUGCUUUUGUUUCAAGACUUCUGCAAGCAGAAGGAAGCGGCUUACGUACUGCCAUCAGCUUCUACUGCUACUUGCUAACAGGAGAAGAACUUGUUAGAUUAGGAAGUGAGUCUGUUGAAAAGGAAAGUCUCAAUAUUUCUGCCAACCCUGACCCCUUCUGUUCCUGUUUCCCCAGCGCUAUCACAGACUGCCACUCUUCCCACGGAUUGUCAGAGCUUAGACCAUUCGGUUGUCCCAGGUAUUCACCGUGGGCUUGAUCUGAAAUUCAGUGAAGUCUCUGGAAUUUGAUUCAGACCAUGGAAUCAGACAAUGGGAUUACAUGAUUUGAUCGAAGAAGAAAGUCAAGUUGCUUUUUUGCUAGUUACUGCUUGCCAUUUACCAGAAAUCUGGUUGUGCCUCAGAGGAGGUUAAAGAGAAGAAAUGACCUGGGGAUGAGGCAUCCAGGCCUGGGGAAAGAAGGGAAGACUGGGAACAAUACAACUUCUUCAAAAGCAUGCAAAAUACAGAGUUUAUACUUUUGAGAGACCUGAGUGGUCUUGUUAAUACAAGUAAAUAAGCAAAGCACAGCCUACUAUUUCACUUUGCCAUAGGCUUACUUGUUGUCACUAUGGGUUUUUCACUAGGAACCUGGCAGAAGCAAGUCCUAACAAGUAACAGAUUUACAAAUACUUCAUUUUGUACAAAAUUAAGGCCACGCUGUUCAUGACACAAGCUAUUAACUUGGGGAGCCCUCUUUGUAGAUCUGUUCUUCCAUAUGUGGAGCUCUGGUAAAGGUGUUCAGGGAAGAUGUAGGUUGUCACAACUCACAUGGUGUCAAAAGGCAUGCUGAGACACUCAGCUCUUGCAUGACAUUGAGCAAUCCCAUUUCCGAUGACUUUUUCUUUGUUCAUCUCUUUUCCCAAUGUUGGGAUACAGUGAAUGUAUAGUGGAUUGAUUUUUCUGGGUUUUGGUCAGAGGGGUUGCUUUUUAUGUUCCACAAGUUUCAUUUUACUGCCCAAACCAGGGAAACAUAAACACCAGAAGAAAGCAUGAUUAUCAUUUGGGAAGAAACAAGACAUUUUUAGAAGGAAGCAUAAAGGCCUCAAAGCUUAUGUGUAUAUGAGAAGGGAAUAUGGUCAAAAGACUAACUGAAAUCUGCGGCAUAGCCUACACACAGAUCAACAGGCACAUUGCAUUAGCUUCAGUGUCUCCCAGAUUUACUUUUGGCUACACUGCAAUGUUGAUCAGUCCCCAGCCACACCACACAACUAUUCCAAACAUAACCCAGAGAUCAUUUUAUCCGUUCAGAUUUAAGAUUUGGAAAGCAGAAAUUGGUAUGCAUCAGAGGUGUCAUUCCAACUCUUGGGGUUUGUCCAGCUCUUGGGGUUUGGGCAAUUGCCAUUAGAAAGACUGUAACACUUUCAUUACUCUUAUGAGUUUACUGGUUAAAAAAAUUCUGUCAAAGAUGUGAAAUUCACAUUUCUGCCAGUUUGUCACUUCCUAUACAUGUAUAGAAAAUGCUUGAGAGAGGUAAAUGCUACCACUCAGUGAAUUUUCAGCUUCAGAUAAAGCAAAGUAGGCAAGAGAAUGGAGUCUUGUAUUUUAGUACCUGAUCUGAUUACACUUCUCUGUGCUUAUUUAUAUUAACUUUACAGAGUCGCCUAUGACCCAUUAUCUAAACAGAUGUAUGGAAUUAUGAAUAUCCUAGGAAUUCAUACCAGACAAUUUUAAGAUAAAGCAGAGGAAGAGUGGGAAUGGAGAAGACUGUUUGGUUUGAAGGGUUUUGAUGUUUUUGAGAAAAAAAUAAUUUUCUUUAUGGAAAGAGGGUCUUAUUUUUUAUCAUCCUUCCUGUCCUUGUUGAUCUUCAUGGUCUGUUUGUCAUGGCAGAGUCCUAAACAAUUUUAAGGGGACUAAUCCAUUCAGAAACGUGAAUGAGAAGGAAAAAGUAGGAGAAAGGAUUCCUGAGUCACACUUGCAGAUACUGAACUUCACAGAGAGAAUAGUAAAAUUUCAGUAAGCUAGAAGUGAAUAAAAGUUAUGUUUCUGACAUGCACUGAAUCAUUUCUAGAGCCUUAUAAAGCAUUAUUUGGUUGACAAUGCCUCUUAAAAUAUCUGUUUACAAAAUGCAGUGUUACUUCCUGAAAUUUACCAUUUUUGCUCCAUGAAAAAUAGCACUUUUUCUGUGGGAAAAAAAAAAAGACAGACUUAGCAGCAGGAUCUUUAAUGUCAAGAAAUGGGCAAGAUGUCAGUUUUAUGCAGCAUCAGAAAGACAGAUAUAUAUAUUUCACCAUUUCUCCUAUCCUGUUUAUGAUUGUUGCAAUCACAAAUAAUGUAGCUGAGAUCUACUAUCUACUUGACCUGUAUGUAUUGCUACAUCUUGCUCCUAGGGUAACAGCACUUUGUCAUGUCUAUUUCUCUUCCUCGGGUGUUUAUCUAGUAUUUAACUCUGUCUGUUGUUGAGGAGCACAGGAGCGUGACUCUGCAGUAUGUAGUGCUUCACUUUCGGUAGGGUCAGUGCUGUGCAAAGGCCGUAUCCAAAAAACACCUGAGGUUAACAUACACGACACGCUUCUUAUUAAAAAGAUGGAAAUCAUACGUUUUUGUCUGUGCAUGUUACAACUUGGAUAGUACAAUCUGGAUGAUAAAACCAGAGUGUGAUGGUUUUUAUUCCGGUGAGUGGCCUGCCAUAAGCUACCAUGUGUCGCAGUGCUUUCUCAUAUUCUGUAUAAGCACCUUCUG
Cygnus olor (mute swan) is the source of this 3149-nucleotide long non-coding RNA. RefSeq lists it as uncharacterized. NCBI's taxonomy places the organism in Eukaryota, Metazoa, Chordata, Aves, Anseriformes, Anatidae. The record is from RefSeq and is a predicted model, not a curated record. The transcript has 3 exons.